GGAGGAAUAUUCGUCAAUGGGGGAAACCCUGAACGAGCAACGCCGCGUGGAGGAAGAAGGUCUUUGGAUUGUAAACUCCUUUUCAGAGGGAAGAGGAAGGACGGUACCUCUGGAAUAAGUCACGGCUAACUACGUGCCAGCAGCCGCGGUAAUACGUAGGUGGCGAGCGUUAUCCGGAAUUACUGGGCGUAAAGCGCACGCAGGUGGUUAUUCAAGUCCGAUGUGAAAGCUCUUGGCUUAACUGGGAGAG
Molecule: ribosomal RNA, 250 nt
Filed under: uncultured bacterium
Lineage: Bacteria
Description: partial 16S ribosomal RNA
Rfam family: Bacterial small subunit ribosomal RNA
Source: RNAcentral